RNAcentral lists this long non-coding RNA (316 nucleotides) under Solanum tuberosum (potato). RNAcentral describes it as "long non-coding RNA (STUB_LNC002490)". Lineage: Eukaryota; Viridiplantae; Streptophyta; Magnoliopsida; Solanales; Solanaceae. The record is from RNAcentral.
UCGAGUUGGUUUUUUUAAGUUAAAAUCAAACCAAUCCAAAUAUAGUCGGGGUUUUUUUCUAUACCAAACCAAAUCAAACCAAACCACUAGUCAGGUCUUUUUUUCAGUUUGACUCGAUUUACAGUUUAAUUCGAUUUUCGAUCAGUAACCCGACCCAACCCACUAUUCAAUCUGCAAAGACCCAGCCCACAAAUCCAAUUCAAUACCAACAACAAUACAACAACAAUUCCUCAAUACAAUACAAUUCCAAAAGACCCUAUAGCAAACUGACCCGACCCCUGUACAUUUCUUCCUAGCGAGAAACUGCAAACCCGUA